Long non-coding RNA from Apis cerana (Asiatic honeybee), 4206 nucleotides. RefSeq lists it as uncharacterized. Lineage: Eukaryota; Metazoa; Arthropoda; Insecta; Hymenoptera; Apidae. The record is from RefSeq and is a predicted model, not a curated record.
UUUGCGCAUGAAGAAGCUCGAAUUCGCGCCUAAAAUGAGGUCUAGUCGUGACGUGUGCAAACAUCAGUGUGUUCAUUUACAUAUUUUGAAUUAUUUUAUACUUAUUAUCAUUAUACUUAUAGUUAUAGAUUUAUAUUUGUGCUUAUUAUUAUUAUAUAUAUAUAUUAUAUACUAUAUAUAUCCUUCUCAAUCGAAUGAUACGAGGAAUGUUGUAUCGCAUUCAAUAAGUGGAGCAAUCGGAACAUGGGAAAAAAUUGUGUAACAAGCAAGUUCGGUGAAAGUGUAAAGACGAGCUGUUAAAUCGAGGAAAACUACAACCUGAAGGCCAACACUACCCAUAGAUUAUGGAUUCGUCAUGCAGCCAACGAUUUCGUCUAUCAAUAACUAUCAUCAAAACGCUUUAAACUUCGAGUCAGAGCACGAGGAACGAACGUGGUCGUCGCGUGGUACUGUACAAUUGGUGCAAAUGAAAAGGAUCAUCGAUCAUCCAGUUCGAGGUAAAGGAAGAGGGGAAAGAAGAAAUUCUCGAUUGCCUGGUGGACAAUUGGUUAAUAUCCUGGGCGAGCGGUUCUCCCGUUCUUGCGCCGCGCCGCCAUAUUGGCCGCGGAAACGGCUACUUCCCGGGAUAAUCCGGGGAAGGAGCAAGCUGCGCCCGAAUCGUGGAAGCACCACCAUUUGCGGCUGUUCGCCAAUUCCACGCCCAUCCUAAAGUUUUACUGCCGGCCGACGACCGAUGGAUCCGGGGAUAUUUCUUCGGCCAACGUUUUGGGAAAUCUCGAGCGAGCGGAAACCGAUAUUUCUGACGGCCGUUUGCGGUUUCAGCGGCUCGUUUCUCGCCAGGAAACGGCUGGUUGCCGGCAGAUUUUUGACGACCGUUCGAUCCACGGAAGUCUAUUGGUGAGUCUGGCUUUCCAGGCUCGCAAUUAUAGAAACUACUUUUUUCUUAUUUUGUGGGGGAAGCCGAGGAUCCGUAAUUGGUAUCCGUAUUUUCUAAAGAAUUUGGCUUUUUUCUCUUGUGUAUGUAUGUACGUAUGCGUGUGUGUGUGUACGAUAUGUAUAACGUAUAAAACGUCACCGCCUUGUUACGCCAUCGUUGUUGGUAAAGAAAAGGAAUGAAACAAGUUUGAGAAUGGUCAUGUUAGAACGGUUCUGUUUAUUGAGAAAGCGAGCAAGGUGGUCGCCGUGAAUCGUUGGUAGCCAUUUAUGAGAAGCCCUACCGAUGCUUCUUACCUCCUUAUACCGACCGGUUGUCCUCAUUUUCGCAAAGAACUUUAUCCAAUAAUGCAAUUAAGACCGCGGCAAUGGAACGUUCGCGUGUAACGAUCGAAUUAAGCGCGACGAUGUAUUCUCCUACCUCAAAAGUACCUUUAUAAAUCCGUCAUUUUUGGAUUGCAAGUUUUCUAAAUAAACAAAUUCGUGAAAUUGAUUUCGAAACUCUCGUUCAAUUGUUCGGGAUAAUUCUUCGUUUCAAAUAGAUUUUUAAAAUUUAUCGCGUUUGCGCAUAAGAUAACUCGUGUAUUUCAUUUACAUAUAAAUUUCGCGUAAAUAAAUAUUCACGAAAAAUAAUUUUCUUUCUGCAUCUCUCGUGAAAUAUUAAUAUUAUUCCGUUGAAAUAGAUCGUAUUACGUGUAAAGACAUCAAAUAUAGCGUGCAUAUUUUUCGAAAGAAAAAAAAAAUAUCUAAAAUUAGUUCGCUAGAUAAAUCUAACCAAAAUCUAAACGCAAUCUACGACCAACCAACCGACACAAACGUAUCCUCCAUACCUCCGCCUUUCCCUCCAUCCACGCCUGUAUAAUAUAUACACUCUCAACGACACGCCUAACGAAAUUAUACACAUAUACAUACGCGCAUAGAACGGCGAACACGACAAUGGAAGAAAAGGGAAAGAGAGGAGAAGCGAUCGAAACGGUUUCAAUCUCUGCCCAACCGGUAUUAAUAUUUAUCGAGCGUUUUCGGGGCGCAGUAAAUAAUGGAGCGAGGCCGAGGUUGGUUGGCGUGUACGAUAAUUUCAUUGCUUAAUUCGAGCACGCCUCUGUGCCUCUGGCCAAGAGGGUUCAAAAGAGCGGUUCACGUACGCGACGAAGAGGAGAGGAAAUCGGGUCCACCGUGCACGCGCGCUCCUUCGUUUUUCGUGGGCGCGCGAAAUCGCAAGAGAGCCCUCGAGAUCCUUGGAGGUGGCCGUAAACGAUCGUUUCGUACCGGCUCGAAAAAUAUUACGUCUUCAUGGACACCGAGGUUACGCCGUCGGUAUAAUUUCGUCGUUAAACUCAUCCCUACCCCUUUUGUACGGCCGUUUCAUCCCCGUAUCGUGACCGGUUAUCGUGUGGUAGCGAGAGAAAGAGAAAGAGAGAGAGAGAGAGAGGGGGAGUUAUACACGAAGGCUGUCGUUCGAUCGAUGAUAAUGAUCCCGUUGAUGAUAGCUUCGAACGUUAUUAUACGCAUCUCAUCGAUGCGAGAUAGAAGAGAGCGAAAUAUUGAGAGAUGCGAAAGGGAGGAGAGAGAGGAAGGAAAGGGGAAAAAAACAUGUUGAAGAGGUGCGUUCGUGUUUCAAGAGCUGGAAGCGAUUGGUCGACGCCAUUACUCACACCGUUUGCGCCUGCCACAUGGCUCGAUGGAUCUUUUCUUCUCCAUUCGCGCCCCCUAUUCUGGUUUAUUCCUUCUUCUUUUCGAGAGCUGGCAACUCGCUGCUUUCACGGGAGGAUCCGUUUGAUUGUUGAACGUGUUUGUCUUAUUUAUCCUGUAACGAGAGAUUGAUUUAAUAAAAUACGACGAUAUUCAUUGAAAGAAAAGAGUAGAAAAUUUCUUUCCUUUUCUAAACCUACCUUUAUUUCGAUCAAUUUAUCCACGUCUUCCAUUCCCUUUUUUAUAUCUUUCGUUCGUUUACAGUUCCCUUGCCAAACCCCUGCCAAAGGAAUUGUCAAGAGGAUUUUAACUUUCCAACGUUCCGUAUUUAGAUUCGUUGCGUCACAUCCAAGGAGCUAACGCGAUGCCAGCUAGAUAGGUUACACGAAACGAUCCGUCAAAUUGGUGUUAUCGUCGUGCGCUUAUGCAAACCGACCCAUUAGCGGGAAACCGACGCGCGUCAAUCCGUUUUAAAAGUGGCGCGUCAAACUCGCACGCCAACACGAGAUCCGGUGGAGCGCGUGUGCACGAUCGUCGAAGGGAAACGUGUUCAUACGACUCGUCAACGGCUCGUUAAACGCGACGAUGGCGCGUGAACACGAACGGAAAGUUCAACGAGAGUUCACCGGCUGAAACAAUGUUGCGCUGCGAAUGUACUCGCGUGCAACGUUUCGAGGAUUUAACGAUGGGAAGAUAGAAUAUCUAUUUAUUUCAAACAAUGCCCAUUCGGAAAAAUUCGUGACGCGUUUAAGAUAAUUGUCCAUCGUUUCAUUACCGAUCUCAGAGGCGAGAUUUAAUGAAGAUGGUUUUAAUGUCUUUUACGGUCUAAUACGAGACAUCCGAAGCUAAAGGAAACGAAUUCAGAGUCAGGGGAACGGGAGAUGGAAAGGAAUUUCAUCAUAUCGAGCUUGGAAAUCAAAGAUAUCGCGCGCUAUUCUUCUUCUCGAUCAGAUAAAAGAUGGAAAAAAAGAGUCAGACUCUGAGCGCCACGAUUUCUGGAUCGUUCGGGAUCCCCGGUCUGUGCUCGCGAGGCAUGACGCGACAUGACAGUCUCUUUGUCCAGGACGUUAUGAAGAUGUCGUCGAACAAACGCCGCCACGGAGACGUGCGAAGCGUUUACAAAACGUUUACGCGUACCACGGGUCCGCGUACACAUCAACGCCGCUCGCAUUAUCUGAUGGCACCGACAUACGUCUUCGCUGUCAGCCGAUCGUUAAGGGAACAAUCAGACGUGCCGGAGACGGAUCGGCUGCCAACCAUUUCCACCCCUCUCCCUCUGCAUCUUCUUUUUCGUUCUUUCCUAUUUCUUUUUAUACCGCUUCCUCUUUCCAGACUUCCUGCUCCCAAACUCCCAAGGAAUCCUCCUCCUUUUAUCCCCUUUUUAAAACUGUGAAUAAAAGAUGAAGAGGACGACGCUUCUUUGUGAUAAUUAGUGAAUGAGUGUAAAAAUAAUAAUAAGUGAUAAGUAGUUAUUUAAGUAUAUGUAAUCUAGAUAUGAAUAAAAUAAUGCAUAUAACAUACUAUAUUAUAUUGUAUAAUUUUGUAAUAUAUUAUAAAAUUAUUAUAAUAUGUAUUAAUUUUACC